This 440-nucleotide ribosomal RNA is filed under the name uncultured bacterium. Its description in RNAcentral is "partial 16S ribosomal RNA". It matches the Rfam family "Bacterial small subunit ribosomal RNA", at positions 338 to 795 of the family's 1533-position model. The record is from RNAcentral.
CCUACGGGAGGCAGCAGUGGGGAAUAUUGCACAAUGGAGGCAACCCUGAUGCAGCGACGCCGCGUGCAGGAUGAAGUCUUUCUGUGUGUAAAGCUCUAUCAGCAGGGAGGAAAAUGACGGUACCUGAGUACGCCUCCCCGGCUCACUCCGUGCCAGCAGCCGCGGUACUACGUAGGGUGCAAGCGUUAUCCGGAUUUACUGGGUGUAAAGGGAGCGUAGACGGCAUUACAAGUCUGGAGUGAAAUGCCGGGGCUCAACCCCGGAACUGCCUCGGAAACUGUGCGGCUGGAGUGCAGGAGAGGUAAGCGGAAUGUCUAGUGUAGCGGUGAAAUGCGUAGAGAUUAGGAGGAACACCAGUGGCGAAGGCGGCUUACUGGACUGUAACUGACGUUGAGGCUCGAAAGCGUGGGGAGCAAACAGGAUUAGAUACCCUUGUAGUC